Long non-coding RNA from Vidua macroura (Pin-tailed whydah), 413 nucleotides. RefSeq lists it as uncharacterized. NCBI's taxonomy places the organism in Eukaryota, Metazoa, Chordata, Aves, Passeriformes, Viduidae. The transcript is spliced from 3 exons. The record is from RefSeq and is a predicted model, not a curated record.
AUUGGCCUUCUUGGUCACCAGGGCACACACUGGCUCAUGUUUGGCCACUGUUGGCAUUUCAGUGAAGAAUUUGCACAGCUUCAGUCCUGGCUGCAUGUAAGAAGCAAAGAAAUAGAAGAGGGACAAAAUGAAAUCUAAAAGAGGAGCAAAACCAAAAUGAAGGGACAACCCUCUCCAGAUGAGCUAAAUAUUCCUUCCACCUCCCUAAAAGACAGCAAGAUCUUGAGCUACACUCCCAGCUUUCCUGCAUUCAGGAAAGAAGAAUGCAUUGCAAGUGAAAGAACAGGAAAGAAUGAAGAAUUGUGGUAUAGCUGCAUAUCUGGAACAGCCUCAAAGAAAUUACAGACACUGCAAACAUAAAACCACUGACUGAAUUAAUUAACUAAUGAAAUUUCAUUUCUCAUUUCUCUCAU